CCCGUUAGCUAAAUGCGGAAGAGAUAAGUGCUGUAAGCAUCUAAGCACGAAACUUGCCCCGAGAUGAGUUCUCCCUGAGACUUUGUGUCUCCUGAAGGAACGUUGAAGACGACGACGUUGAUAGGCCGGGUGUGUAAGCGCAGCGAUGCGUUGAGCUAACCGGUACUAAUGAACCGUGAGGCUUAACCUUACAACGCCGAAG
RNAcentral lists this ribosomal RNA (202 nucleotides) under Salmonella enterica subsp. enterica serovar Schwarzengrund. RNAcentral's name for it is "partial 23S ribosomal RNA". It matches the Rfam family "Bacterial large subunit ribosomal RNA", at positions 2741 to 2925 of the family's 2925-position model. Lineage: Bacteria; Pseudomonadati; Pseudomonadota; Gammaproteobacteria; Enterobacterales; Enterobacteriaceae. The record is from RNAcentral.